GACGAACGCUGGCGGCGUGCCUAAUACAUGCAAGUCGAGCGGACGGAUGGGAGCUUGCUCCCAGACCGUCAGCGGCGGACGGGUGAGUAACACGUGGGCAACCUGCCUGUAAGACUGGGAUAACUCCGGGAAACCGGGGCUAAUACCGGAUAACUCUUUCCCUCACAUGAGGGAAAGCUGAAAGAUGGCAUCUCGCUAUCACUUACAGAUGGGCCCGCGGCGCAUUAGCUAGUUGGUGAGGUAACGGCUCACCAAGGCGACGAUGCGUAGCCGACCUGAGAGGGUGAUCGGCCACACUGUGACUGAGACACGGCCCAGACUCCUACGGGAGGCAGCAGUAGGGAAUCUUCCGCAAUGGACGAAAGUCUGACGGAGCAACGCCGCGUGAGUGAUGAAGGUUUUCGGAUCGUAAAACUCUGUUGUCAGGGAAGAACAAGUACCGGAGUACCUGCCGGUACCUUGACGGUACCUGACCAGAAAGCCACGGCUAACUACGUG
Molecule: ribosomal RNA, 498 nt
Filed under: uncultured bacterium
Lineage: Bacteria
Description: partial 16S ribosomal RNA
Rfam family: Bacterial small subunit ribosomal RNA
Source: RNAcentral